Molecule: ribosomal RNA, 951 nt
Filed under: Triticum aestivum (bread wheat)
Lineage: Eukaryota; Viridiplantae; Streptophyta; Magnoliopsida; Poales; Poaceae
Description: partial small subunit ribosomal RNA
Source: RNAcentral
AUGGAGUCCCUGGGCGUGCUGCUGCUGCACCCCAUGAACGCCUACCUGGAGCAGGAGCUCGACCGCCGCUUCCGCCUCUUCCGCUUCUGGGACUCCCCUCCCGACGGCCGCGCCGAGUUCCUCCGCGCCAACGCCUCCGCCAUCCGCGCCGUCGUCGGCAACGCCGGCUACAACGCCGACGCCGCGCUCAUCGACGCGCUGCCGUCGCUCGAGAUCGUCGCCUCCUUCUCUGUGGGGAUCGACCGCGUCGACCUCCCCAAGUGCCGCGAGCGCGGGAUCCGCGUCACCAACACCCCCGACGUCCUCACCGACGACGUCGCCGACCUCGCCGUCGGCCUCGCCAUCGCCGCGCUGAGGAAGAUCCCGCAGGCCGACCGCUACGUGCGCGCCGGCCUGUGGAAGGCCAAGGGGGACUACACACUCACCGCGCGGUUCAGUGGCAAAAGAGUGGGCAUCAUCGGGCUGGGCAGGAUAGGGCUUGCCAUUGCCACCCGAGUGGAGGCCUUUGAUUGCCCAGUCAACUACUACCAGAGAACAAAGAAAGACUACCCCAACUACACCUAUUACCCGAGCGUGGUCGAACUGGCGGCAAACAGCGACAUCCUGGUGGUGGCUUGUCCGCUGAAUGAGCAGACCCGGCACAUCGUCAACCGCGAGGUGAUCGAGGUGCUGGGGCCCAAGGGCGUGCUCAUAAACAUCGGGCGCGGCCCUCACGUCGACGAGCCCGAGCUGGUCUCGGCGCUCGUCGAGGGGCGCCUCGGCGGGGCAGGCCUCGACGUGUUCGAGGACGAGCCCAACGUGCCUGAGGCGCUGUUCGCGCUCGACAACGUCGUCCUGGUGCCACACGUGGGGAGCGGGACGCACGAGACGCGCCAGGCCAUGGCGGACCUUGUCCUGGGCAACCUGGAGGCGCAUGUUCUGAAGAAGCCGCUGCUGACUCCGGUUGUCUGA